Molecule: ribosomal RNA, 497 nt
Filed under: uncultured bacterium
Lineage: Bacteria
Description: partial 16S ribosomal RNA
Rfam family: Bacterial small subunit ribosomal RNA
Source: RNAcentral
GAUGAACGCUGGCGGCGUGCCUAAUACAUGCAAGUCGAGCGAACGGACGAGAAGCUUGCUCCUCUGAUGUUAGCGGCGGACGGGUGGGUAACACGUGGAUAACCUACCUCUAAGACUGGGAUAACUUCGGGAAACCGGAGCUAAUACCGGAUAAUACUUUGAACCGCAUGGUUCAAAAGUGAAAGACGGUCUUGCUGUCACUUAUAGCUGGAGCCGCGCUGCAUUAGUUAGUUGGUAAGGUAACGGCUUACCAAGGCAACGAUGCAUAGCCGACCUGAGAGGGUGAUCGGCCACACUGGAACUGAGACACGGUCCAGACUCCUACGGGAGGCAGCAGUAGGGAAUCUUCCGCAAUGGGCGAAAGCCUGACGGAGCAACGCCGCGUGAGUGAUGAAGGUCUUCGGAUCGUAAAACUCUGUUAUUAGGGAAGAACAUAUGUGUAAGAAACUGUGCACAUCUUGACGGUACCUAAACAGAAAGCCCCGGCUAACUACGUG